UGUGGGAAUUGCCGGGGAUAAUUUCUUGACUUGAGGUCGGGAGAGGUGGGAGGUACUCCCGGGGUAGGGGUGAAAUCCUGUAAUCCUGGGAGGACCACCUGUGGCGAAGGCGUCCACCUGGAACGAACCUGACGGUGAGGGACGAAAGCCAGGGGCGCGAACCGGAUUAGAUACCCGGGUAGUCCUGGCCGUAAACGAUGUGGACUUGGUGUUGGGAUGGCUUCGACCCGCCCCAGUGCCGAAGGGAAGCCGUUAAGUCCGCCGCCAGGGAAGUACGGCCGCAAG
Molecule: ribosomal RNA, 285 nt
Filed under: uncultured Methanothermobacter sp.
Lineage: Archaea; Methanobacteriati; Methanobacteriota; Methanobacteria; Methanobacteriales; Methanobacteriaceae
Description: partial 16S ribosomal RNA
Rfam family: Archaeal small subunit ribosomal RNA
Source: RNAcentral